AAACAUGGCUCUUUGACCACUUAAACAUAAAGAGUCCUGCCUGCCCAGUGAACUUUUUUAACGGCCGCAGUACCCUGACUGUGCAAAGGUAGCAUAAUCACUUGCCCUAUAAUUGAGGGCUAGAAUGAAAGGUUAAACAAGAGCAACCCUGUCUCUAACCCAACUCAAUAUAAUUUAAUUUCUAAGUGAAGAAGCUUAGCUACAAUUAAAAGACGAGAAGACCCUAUCGAGCUUAAAAAUAGCUAUAUUAAUUUAUUUAUAACCUUUUUGGUUGGGGCGACCAAGGAACCUUAAGCUUCCUUAUUUAUUUCUCUAACUAUUUGACCCAGUACAACUGAUUAAUAGAACAAGCUACCGUAGGGAUAACAGCGUAAUUUUCUUUUAGAGUUCCCAUCAAAAAGAAAUCUUGCGACCUCGAUGUUGGACUAAAAUUUCCUAAAUGAUGCAGAAGUCUUUUACGGUUGGUCUGUUCGACCAUUAAAAUUUUACAUGAUCUGA
RNAcentral lists this ribosomal RNA (498 nucleotides) under Merelina elegans. Its description in RNAcentral is "partial 16S ribosomal RNA". It matches the Rfam family "Bacterial large subunit ribosomal RNA", at positions 1811 to 2608 of the family's 2925-position model. The record is from RNAcentral. Lineage: Eukaryota; Metazoa; Mollusca; Gastropoda; Littorinimorpha; Rissoidae.